Molecule: ribosomal RNA, 1178 nt
Filed under: bacterium
Lineage: Bacteria
Description: bacterial SSU rRNA
Rfam family: Bacterial small subunit ribosomal RNA
Source: RNAcentral
GGGGCAGGCUUACCAUGCAGUCGAGGGGUAUCCUCGUUCCUGGUGUGAAACCGGUGCACGGGUGCGUAACGCGUAUGUAAUCUGUCUUUCCAUAGGGAUAGACCAGACAAAUUUGGAUUAAUACCUCAUAGGAUUAAAAAUCCGCAUGGUUAUGUCUUAACGUCACUGCGGUGAAAGAUGAGCAUGCGUCCGAUUACCUAGGUGGUAAGGUAACGGCUUACCAAGGCGACGAUGGGUAAGGGUCCUGAUGGGGAGAUCCCCCACCCUGGUACGGAGACACGGACGGGACUCAUUCGGGAGGGAGCACUGAGGAAUAUUGGUCAAUGGGCGCAAGCCAGAACCAGCCAUGCCUCGUGCAGGAUGACUGUCCUAUGGAUUGUAAACUGCUUUUGUACAGUAAGAAACACUCCGACUUGUGUGAGCUUGACUGUACCUACCGAAUGAGGAUCGGCUAACUCCAUGCCAGCCGCCGCGGUAGUACGUAGGAUCCAUCCGAUAUCCGAAAUCAUUGGGUUUGAAUGAUCCGUGGGCAGGCUUGUAAUUCAGUGAUGAAUGACCAUCGCUCAACUGUGGAACGCCGCGUGUUACUGCCUGACUUGCAUUAAUGGGCAGUAACUAGAAUAUGUAGUGUACCGGUGAAUUGCUUGAAUAUUACAUGGAAUAACCAUUGCGAGCGCAGGUUACUACCUAUGAUUUGACGCUGAUGGACGACAGCGAGGGUAGCGGACAGGAUUAGAUACCCUGGCUGUCCACGCCCGCAACUAUCGAUACUAACUGUCGGGUGCGACUUUACUGUCUAAGCGUAAGUGAUAACUAUACCACCUGGGCAGUACGAACGCACGUGUGAGACUCAAACUAAUUGAAAGUGACCCGCACACGCUAGGAGCAUGUGCAUGAAUUUGUAUGAUCGCAAGGAACCUUAUCCUUGCUCAGACGCGACUGACGCAUUUGCAUCAGAUCUUUCGCAGACCGUUUACAAGGAGCUGCGUGCUUGUCGUCAGCUCAUGGCACGAGCGUCAGGUUAUGUCUUAUAUCGAGCGCAACCCCUGAUCGUUAAUGUGCCAGCGAACUCACGUCGAGAAGCUCUAGCCAUGACUGCCAGGUGCUCACUGGCGACUAAAGAUGUGGGAUGAACGUACAGAUCAUCAAUUGCUCCUUGACCCAUUUGGGUCUAACAA